CCUACGGGGGGCAGCAGUGAGGAAUAUUGGUCAAUGGACGGAAGUCUGAACCAGCCAUGCCGCGUGCAGGAAGACGGCUCUAUGAGUUGUAAACUGCUUUUGUACAAGGGUAAACCGGAAUACGUGUAUUCAGCUGAAAGUACGGUACGAAUAAGGAUCGGCUAACUCCGUGCCAGCAGCCGCGGUAAUACGGAGGAUCCAUGCGUUAUCCGGAUUGAUUGGGUUUAAAGGGUGCGUAGGCGGCUUGUUAAGUUAGAGGGGAAAUGUCCGGGCUUAACUCGGGAACUGCCUCUCAUACUGUUGAUCUAGAGCGUAGAUGCGGUAGGCGGAAUGUAUGGUGUAGCGG
This 346-nucleotide ribosomal RNA is filed under the name uncultured bacterium. Its description in RNAcentral is "partial 16S ribosomal RNA". It matches the Rfam family "Bacterial small subunit ribosomal RNA", at positions 338 to 681 of the family's 1533-position model. The record is from RNAcentral.